This 492-nucleotide ribosomal RNA is filed under the name uncultured bacterium. RNAcentral's name for it is "partial 16S ribosomal RNA". It matches the Rfam family "Bacterial small subunit ribosomal RNA", at positions 29 to 507 of the family's 1533-position model. The record is from RNAcentral.
AGUGAACGCUGGCGGUAGGCCUAACACAUGCAAGUCGAACGGCAGCACAGUAAGAGCUUGCUCUUACGGGUGGCGAGUGGCGGACGGGUGAGGAAUACAUCGGAAUCUACUUUUUCGUGGGGGAUAACGUAGGGAAACUUACGCUAAUAUCGCAUACGACCUACGGGUGAAAGCAGGGGAUCUUCGGACCUUGCGCGAUUGAAUGAGCCGAUGUCGGAUUAGCUAGUUGGCGGGGUAAAGGCCCACCAAGGCGACGAUCCGUAGCUGGUCUGAGAGGAUGAUCAGCCACACUGGAACUGAGACACGGUCCAGACUCCUACGGGAGGCAGCAGUGGGGAAUAUUGGACAAAGGGCGCAAGCCUGAUCCAGCCAUACCGCGUGGGUGAAGAAGGCCUUCGGGUUGUAAAGCCCUUUUGUUGGGAAAGAAAAGCAGCAGGUUAAUACCCCGCUGUUCUGACGGUACCCAAAGAAUAAGCACCGGCUAACUUCGUG